CGGGCUGCAGGCAGCCAGGCUGGGUUCCGGAGCCGGUCGGCGCUGCGACUUCGAACCUGGGCUGAGGGAGUUUGCUGAGCCCGAGGCUUUCUUCCCGACAAGCCGAGCCCGGGAGUCAUUGUGCUGCCCAAGUUUCCUCCGCGCCUCCGCCCCCACCCCAACUCCGCUGAGCUGUUAGACAAUUGAACACUGAUCAGAGGACUCAACUUUGAAAACCUGAAAAGUAGGACAGAAUAUGUGAAGAUUAAGAUAUAUAUACAGGUUUGCAUUCAACUUUUUUUUUUGAGGUACAGUAGAUACCAUGUUUUCAUCUAGUUCUACUCUAUUUUAUCUGAAAAACUGUGAGUUUUAAACAGGAAACUUCUGGGAAUCCUAUCCAGAGCCUCCUACAUACAAGGCAGGAACUCUGCCACUGAGUAACACACAAAAGUCCCAACAAGAAACUUGUUAAGGAUGUUUGUGUUCCAGUAUCUUUUAUGAAUGUAAUCAUUUUAUAUUGGUGGCUAUCCGCAUUGGAGAAAAACUAGCUGAACCUACCUACCAUCAGUGCCUUGAACAUUUUAGUUUACUAAAUGCUUCAGAUACAGUAUCAGGAUCAACAUUUUACUUGAAGAAUUUCUUUCAAGUUACUUUUAAGUAAAAUUUAAUAAGGAAUAGAGACAAAGAUGGUUUCAAACAUAUAUUUGUGUGGAAAGAGCCCAUAAUCACAUUAGACUAAAGUACGGUAUACAUCCAUGCAAAGGUAGUACAUCAAGAAACAAAUCCUUGACGCAAAACUAUUCUUAACAGUUUGGAGCAAAUAAUACCAGGCAGACUCCCUAGAGUUUUUGGGACUUAACAGCCUCUUGAGAGUGAGUAGUGUUUCGUUAAAAAAAAAAAAAAAAAAAAAAAGUUCCACGGAUGUAGCAGUGAGAAAAGCAGAAGUUAGGAGGCAGCAGUGAGGAUCAUUAUGGCGUUCUAAAAAGCGAAGUAGUUUCUGUAAAGCACCGUAUCUGUUGCUGAGAAUUAUGUAACUUAAUCCUCGGUCUUCAAAACCGUGUUUUUGAGCUAGUCGGAUAACUUGCUAAGAAGUUGGAGAAAUUGUCUAAAAAAGAAAAUUGUAUUGUUAAAACUAGCC
RNAcentral lists this long non-coding RNA (1117 nucleotides) under Heterocephalus glaber (naked mole-rat). RNAcentral describes it as "lncRNA (ENSHGLG00000044831.1)". The record is from RNAcentral. Lineage: Eukaryota; Metazoa; Chordata; Mammalia; Rodentia; Bathyergidae.